RNAcentral lists this ribosomal RNA (484 nucleotides) under uncultured bacterium. RNAcentral describes it as "partial 16S ribosomal RNA". It matches the Rfam family "Bacterial small subunit ribosomal RNA", at positions 30 to 507 of the family's 1533-position model. The record is from RNAcentral.
AUUGAACGCUGGCGGCAGGCCUAACACAUGCAAGUCGAGCGGAUGAAGGGAGCUUGCUCCUGGAUUCAGCGGCGGACGGGUGAGUAAUGCCUAGGAAUCUGCCUGGUAGUGGGGGAUAACGUCCGGAAACGGGCGCUAAUACCGCAUACGUCCUGAGGGAGAAAGUGGGGGAUCUUCGGACCUCACGCUAUCAGAUGAGCCUAGGUCGGAUUAGCUAGUUGGUGGGGUAAAGGCCUACCAAGGCGACGAUCCGUAACUGGUCUGAGAGGAUGAUCAGUCACACUGGAACUGGGAAACGGUCCAGACUCCUACGGGAGGCAGCGGUGGGGAAUAUUGGACAAUGGGCGAAAGCCUGAUCCAGCCAUGCCGCGUGUGUGAAGAAGGUCUUCGGAUUGUAAAGCACGUUAAGUUGGGAGGAAGGGCAGUAAGUUAAUACCUUGCUGUUUUGACGUUACCAACAGAAUAAGCACCGGCUAACUUCGUG